This 497-nucleotide ribosomal RNA is filed under the name uncultured bacterium. RNAcentral's name for it is "partial 16S ribosomal RNA". It matches the Rfam family "Bacterial small subunit ribosomal RNA", at positions 28 to 507 of the family's 1533-position model. The record is from RNAcentral.
GAUGAACGCUGGCGGCGUGCCUAAUACAUGCAAGUCGAGCGAACAGACGAGGAGCUUGCUCCUCUGACGUUAGCGGCGGACGGGUGAGUAACACGUGGAUAACCUACCUAUAAGACUGGGAUAACUUCGGGAAACCGGAGCUAAUACCGGAUAACAUGUUGAACCGCAUGGUUCAACAGUGAAAGACGGUCUUGCUGUCACUUAUAGAUGGAUCCGCGCCGCAUUAGCUAGUUGGUAAGGUAACGGCUUACCAAGGCAACGAUGCGUAGCCGACCUGAGAGGGUGAUCGGCCACACUGGAACUGAGACACGGUCCAGACUCCUGCGGGAGGCAGCAGUAGGGAAUCUUCCGCAAUGGGCGAAAGCCUGACGGAGCAACGCCGCGUGAGUGAAGAAGGUCUUCGGGUCGUAAAACUCUGUUAUUAGGGAAGAACAAAUGUGUAAGUAACUAUGCACGUCUUGACGGUACCUAAUCAGAAAGCCACGGCUAACUACGUG